Molecule: long non-coding RNA, 469 nt
Organism: Cydia amplana
Lineage: Eukaryota; Metazoa; Arthropoda; Insecta; Lepidoptera; Tortricidae
Exons: 2
Source: RefSeq, a predicted model, not a curated record
UAUUAGUAGCUUUUUCUAUUUACCAUAGUGCAUGUUGGUUACUACUGUUGUUCAAUAUUGGGGUUCGAUUUGAUAAGUUUCCGAGACAUGGAUGUUGGAAUAAGGAUUGACGUAUUAUGUGAUAUUCAGGAUUGACCUUUCAAUGUGUGUUGUGGUUUCAAAUCUUGGUUGUGCUGUAUGGACCAGAAAAAACUAUGUCGAGUAAAUGAAAAAAGAUGACUAAAAAUUCAGUCACAAUCCUUAUCAUAGAGACAAGAUGUUAAAUAAUCAAUCCUGAAUGUCGUAUUGCAUAGGGACGUUAGACCUUAAUGCGUCAGAGACGGAGAGGCCGUCUUUUACUGUGAUAAAAUUGGAACCAGUUGUGGAAAGCUGGGUUUGGGUGUAGCUAUAUUCAUUAUCCCUUGUAGUUGUAAGGCAGAGAUAUAAUAUUGUAGAGCUUUUAAUAUGUUUUAAUAAAUAUUAAGUGAUA